Molecule: ribosomal RNA, 784 nt
Filed under: uncultured bacterium
Lineage: Bacteria
Description: SSU rRNA
Rfam family: Bacterial small subunit ribosomal RNA
Source: RNAcentral
CACAGUGUAACAAUACAUGGGUGGCGACCGGCAAACGGGUGCGGAACACGUACGCAACCUUCCUUCAGGCGGGGAAUAGCCCAGAGAAAUUUGGAUUAAUACCCCAUAAUAUUUUGAGAUGGCAUCAUCUUAUUAUUAAAGCUACGGCACCUGGAGAUGGGCGUGCGGCUGAUUAGGUAGUUGGCGGGGUAAUGGCCCACCAAGCCUACGAUCAGUAGCUGAUGUGAGAGCAUGAUCAGCCACACGGGCGCUGAGACACGGGCCCGACUCCUACGGGAGGCAGCAGUAAGGAAUAUUGGUCAAUGGACGCAAGUCUGAACCAGCCAUGCCGCGUGGAGGAUGAAGGUCCUCUGGAUUGUAAACUUCUUUUAUCUGGGACGAAAAAAGGGUUUUCUAACUCGUCUGACGGUACCAGAUGAAUAAGUACCGGCUAACUCCGUGCCAGCAGCCGCGGUAAUACGGAGGGUGCAAGCGUUAUCCGGAUUCACUGGGUUUAAAGGGUGCGUAGGCGGGCAUUUAAGUCAGUGGUGAAAUACCUGAGCUUAACUUGGGAACUGCCAUUGAUACUAUUUGUCUUGAAUGUCGUGGAGGUUAGCGGAAUAUGUCAUGUAGCGGUGAAAUGCUUAGAUAUGACAUAGAACACCUAUUGCGAAGGCAGCUAACUACGCGAAUAUUGACGCUGAGGCACGAAAGCGUGGGGAUCAAACAGGAUUAGAUACCCUGGUAGUCCACGCCCUAAACGAUGAUUACUCGACAUUAGCGAUACACUGUUAGUGUCUGAGCG